This 120-nucleotide ribosomal RNA is filed under the name Anolis carolinensis (green anole). The record is from RNAcentral. Lineage: Eukaryota; Metazoa; Chordata; Lepidosauria; Squamata; Anolidae.
UAUGACCUCCAUAUUAUCCUGAAUACAUCCAGACUUGUACAAUUUUGGAAAUUAAACAGGAUUGUCCAUGGUUAGUAUGAAGAUGGAAGACCACCUACAAACAACCAUGGAAUGAAACAG